AUGCACGCUGGCGGCGUGCCUCAUCCCUGCAAGUCGCGCGAACAGAUAAGGAGCUUGCUCCUUUGACGUUAGCGGCGGACGGGUGAGUAACACGUGGGUAACCUACCUAUAAGACUGGGAUAACUUCGGGAAACCGGAGCUAAUACCGGAUAAUAUUUCGAACCGCAUGGUUCGAUAGUGAAAGAUGGUUUUGCUAUCACUUAUAGAUGGACCCGCGCCGUAUUAGCUAGUUGGUAAGGUAACGGCUUACCAAGGCGACGAUACGUAGCCGACCUGAGAGGGUGAUCGGCCACACUGGAACUGAGACACGGUCCAGACUCCUACGGGAGGCAGCAGUAGGGAAUCUUCCGCAAUGGGCGAAAGCCUGACGGAGCAACGCCGCGUGAGUGAUGAAGGUCUUCGGAUCGUAAAACUCUGUUAUUAGGGAAGAACAUACGUGUAAGUAACUGUGCACGUCUUGACGGUACCUAAUCAGAAAGCCACGGCUAACUACGUG
Molecule: ribosomal RNA, 496 nt
Filed under: uncultured bacterium
Lineage: Bacteria
Description: partial 16S ribosomal RNA
Rfam family: Bacterial small subunit ribosomal RNA
Source: RNAcentral